This 253-nucleotide ribosomal RNA is filed under the name uncultured bacterium. RNAcentral describes it as "partial 16S ribosomal RNA". It matches the Rfam family "Bacterial small subunit ribosomal RNA", at positions 524 to 776 of the family's 1533-position model. The record is from RNAcentral.
UACGUAGGUGGCAAGCGUUAUCCGGAUUUAUUGGGCGUAAAGGGAACGCAGGCGGUCUUUUAAGUCUGAUGUGAAAGCCUUCGGCUUAACCGGAGAAUUGCAUCAGAAACUGUUGAACUUGAGUGCAGAAGAGGAGAGUGGAAUUCCAUGUGUAGCGGUGGAAUGCGUAGAUAUAUGGAAGAACGCCAGUGGCGAAGGCGGCUCUCUGGUCUGCAACUGACGCUGAGGCUCGAAAGCAUGGGUAGCGAACAGG